GUGCUCCCCCACCAACCGGACCUGGAUCAGCCCCACCCCUGUGUGACGGAUUUGACCGCGGGCGGGGCCCACCGGCGUCAGGGCCUUUGCUGCCCGUAGGUGCCGCCGGGUCACGACGCCGAGAGGCGGAGGGCCCGGCCCGCCACGUCGGCGCAGUCCGCGGCGGGGCGGGGGUGGGGAGCCGGGCCACGUGCGGCGGGACCCCGCUCGCGGAUGUUCGUCUCGCGCGCUUACGCCAGGGGCAGGGCGCACCGUGCGGGAGAGACAGGGACGAGAGAGCGGCAGCGGCGCACAAGAGCAGAGCGGCGACAGGAAGGAUCCGUUGAUCGGAAAUGCCUUCGACCCGCUGCCUCUACCAAGUGGUGUUCCAGUGCCUUUGUGUUUUUGCGGUGAUCCGCAAGGUUCCCAAGUUCGAGGAAGAUGACAUGUAUAGGCAGAGGUAUUGGGCGUGUGACAACUAUGCUUAUUAGCUGACGAUUGCUCGACGCGACAUUAACUUGAUGGUGAGAAUUUUAUGGUGUAACAUUUAUCUUGUUUCAUAUGAACCAAUGCAUGAUUUAUUUGGCUCAUACCAUUUGCAUGCUCUCUAGACUUCUCCACUGCUCUUUGAUUUUAAGCAGUGGAUUGACACAGAGAUAUCACAGAAAGACAAGGAGUGGAUGGAGAAGCUGGAAGUGCGAUGCAGAGGACAAGGAAAGGAUGGAGAAAAAAACAAGAGGAGCUUGCGACGGAGCAACAAUGGGCAGAAGAGGAGAAAAUGAGGCGUGUUGACACAGGGAGAAGGAGAAGAAGCUUAAGCAUGCAUGCCGUACGAAGGAAGCAAAGGAGGAGAACCCCGAUGCUUUUAGGAAGGAAAAGUGACCUCAUUGCACUCAGUAGACUCGGGGGUUCUACAUUGUUUAAGUCUCAAACAAUGUUAUAUACUAAUGCACUUUUCAUUGUCCUUUAAUUAAUGGACUCGAUUUUGUGGUU
Molecule: long non-coding RNA, 972 nt
Organism: Zea mays
Lineage: Eukaryota; Viridiplantae; Streptophyta; Magnoliopsida; Poales; Poaceae
Exons: 2
Source: RefSeq, a predicted model, not a curated record